Molecule: ribosomal RNA, 253 nt
Filed under: uncultured bacterium
Lineage: Bacteria
Description: partial 16S ribosomal RNA
Rfam family: Bacterial small subunit ribosomal RNA
Source: RNAcentral
UACGAAGGGGGCUAGCGUUGUUCGGAAUCACUGGGCGUAAAGCGCACGUAGGCGGAUGUGCCAGUCAGGGGUGAAAUCCCGGAGCUCAACUCCGGAACUGCCUCUGAUACAGCACGUCUUGAGUUCGAGAGAGGUGGGUGGAAUUCCUAGUGUAGAGGUGAAAUUCGUAGAUAUUAGGAAGAACACCGGUGGCGAAGGCGGCCCACUGGCUCGAUACUGACGCUGAGGUGCGAAAGCCAGGGGAGCAAACGGG